Molecule: long non-coding RNA, 782 nt
Organism: Papaver somniferum (opium poppy)
Lineage: Eukaryota; Viridiplantae; Streptophyta; Magnoliopsida; Ranunculales; Papaveraceae
Exons: 2
Source: RefSeq, a predicted model, not a curated record
AUCUGGGUUUUACUUUGCAUGUGAGUUUCUUUUGGGUUUGAUUCAUAUUGUUCUUCAUUUUUCUUUCAUUUUGGGGGUUUUAUUUAUUUAGAUCCAAGUGAUUUUAUUUGUUGUUUGAUGAUUUUCAGAAAUUAGUUUUGUUUGUUCAUCAGAAAUUGGCAAAGAGCCUUAAUCAAUUUUUCAGAAAUUAGUAGUCUGUAAUGAUCGUAGUAAUAGUGGUGUUCAGCGAUUUGUUGUAAUUAACAUAUCAAAUUUACGUCCUAGACAAGAGUGUUUGAGGGUACCCUUAAAUUAGGUACCAAAGGUAUGGGUUUCAUUGAUUGGUUCUUUAUGUCGCUAUGGUUGUCAUAGUUUUUCAUUUUUCCAAUGGGUCUGGACUUUUGUUUGUUUGGAAUGAAAAAAAGUUUGCUCCACUAAUCUAAGCUUUGAAAAAGGAACAGAAGUAUCAGGACCAAUUUUUGGAGGAAGGAAUUAGAUCCGGAACGAGAACUCUAUUGACCUCAAAAUCAGAGCUAAAAUCUAAAAGAACAGAUUGAAUGAUAUUAAGUUGCAGAAUCGAUCCGUGUUUUUAAGCUUGUCCAGUGAUAUUUCAAAGAACUCUAAUCUUCUCAAAGUUGAAGUUGAAAUGGAUGUAUCAAUCUUGUUCCUCUUCUAAUUUCUUUUACCAAAUAAACGGGAUUUUAUUUUUUCUAUCUUUGUCAAGCUGAUUGUAAAUUUGUUGAUUAAUAAAUGAUAUUGUAAUUGAUUAAUAAAAUAAAUUAAUUUGCAUUUAAUUUGGUUAU